Molecule: ribosomal RNA, 227 nt
Filed under: uncultured bacterium
Lineage: Bacteria
Description: partial 16S ribosomal RNA
Rfam family: Bacterial small subunit ribosomal RNA
Source: RNAcentral
UAAUUUACCUUUGGGUGGGGAAUAACAGUCGGAAACGACUGCUAAUACCGCCUGAUGCAGCGGCACCACAUGGUGACAGUUGUUAAAGCGGGGGAUCGCAAGACCUCGCGCCUAAAGAGAAGCCCGCGGCAGAUUAGCUAGUUGGUAAGGUAAUGGCUUACCAAGGCUACGAUCUGUAGCCGGCCUGAGAGGGCGGUCGGCCACACUGACACUGAAUAACGGGUCAG